AGGUAGAAUGGCUGAGAGAUUAAGUGGCAGGCUGUAGUCCUGUUAACAUGGGUUUAAGUCCUGUUUCUAUC
RNAcentral lists this transfer RNA (71 nucleotides) under Oedura marmorata (marbled velvet gecko). RNAcentral's name for it is "tRNA-Tyr". It matches the Rfam family "tRNA". From Rfam's summary of the family: Transfer RNA (tRNA) molecules are approximately 80 nucleotides in length. The record is from RNAcentral. Lineage: Eukaryota; Metazoa; Chordata; Lepidosauria; Squamata; Diplodactylidae.